RNAcentral lists this ribosomal RNA (580 nucleotides) under uncultured Glomeromycotina. Its description in RNAcentral is "LSU rRNA". It matches the Rfam family "Eukaryotic large subunit ribosomal RNA", at positions 204 to 637 of the family's 3401-position model. The record is from RNAcentral. Lineage: Eukaryota; Fungi; Glomeromycota.
CAUGGAGGGUGAGAAUCCCGUUCGGUUGAUCAGAUUCGCUUUGUGAUACGUCUUCUAAGAGUCAAGUUGUUUGGAAUUGCAGCUUAAAAUGGGAGGUAAAUUUCUCCUAAGGCUAAAUAUUUGCGAGAGACCGAUAGCGAACAAGUACCGUGAGGGAAAGAUGAAAAGAACUUUGAAAAGAGAGUUAAACAGUACGUGAAAUUGUUGAAAGGGAAACGAUUGAAGCCAGUCGUACCGGCGGAUAAUCAGCCUUUUGGGUGUGAUUAUGUGGAGCGUGUUGAGUCUAACCACCUUCAUGCCUGCAUAUUCGUGCACUUUGGGUGUACUUGUCCGUGUGGUAGGUUAACAUCAAUUUCGAUUAUCAUAAAAUGAUUGGGGGAAUGUGGCUUCGAUCUCGUAUUGAAGUGUUAUAGACCCCGGUAGAUGUGAUGAUCGGGAUUGAGGAUUGCAACGAACCCUUCGGGGCCACCUGCCUGGCCUCUGUUGGUCGCUCUGGUGCCGAAAGCUCGCUUACGGUCAUCGGAGUUGAUCGUCAAAAGGUUAGAACGGGUUGAAUUCGUUAAGGAUGUUGACGUAAUGG